This 246-nucleotide ribosomal RNA is filed under the name uncultured bacterium. RNAcentral's name for it is "partial 16S ribosomal RNA". It matches the Rfam family "Bacterial small subunit ribosomal RNA", at positions 524 to 776 of the family's 1533-position model. The record is from RNAcentral.
UACGGAGGGGCUAGCGUUGUUCGGAAUGACUGGCGUAAAGCGCGCGUAGGCGGAUCGGAAAGUUGGGGUGAAAUCCCGGGCUCAACCCUGGAAUUGCCUUCAAACUCCCGGUCUUGAGUUCGAGAGAGGUGAGUGGAAUUCCGAGUGUAGAGGUGAAAUUCGUAGAUAUUCGGAGGAACACCAGUGGCGAAGGCGGCUCACUGGCUCGAUACUGACGCUGAGGUGCGAAAGCGUGGGGCGAACAGG